UGUAAACGCUGAAAGCCUAAAAGAAGGUGUC
Molecule: non-coding RNA, 31 nt
Filed under: Mus musculus (house mouse)
Lineage: Eukaryota; Metazoa; Chordata; Mammalia; Rodentia; Muridae
Source: RNAcentral